GUGUCAGCAGCCGCGGUAAUACGUAGGGCGCAAGCGUUAUCCGGAAUUAUUGGGCGUAAAGAGCUCGUAGGCGGUUUGUCGCGUCUGCUGUGAAAUCCCGAGGCUCAACCUCGGGUCUGCAGUGGGUACGGGCAGACUAGAGUGCGGUAGGGGAGAUUGGAAUUCCUGGUGUAGCGGUGGAAUGCGCAGAUAUCAGGAGGAACACCGAUGGCGAAGGCAGAUCUCUGGGCCGUAACUGACGCUGAGGAGCGAAAGGGUGGGGAGCAAACAGGAUUAGAAACCCUCGUAGUCC
RNAcentral lists this ribosomal RNA (292 nucleotides) under uncultured bacterium. RNAcentral's name for it is "partial 16S ribosomal RNA". It matches the Rfam family "Bacterial small subunit ribosomal RNA", at positions 505 to 796 of the family's 1533-position model. The record is from RNAcentral.